Long non-coding RNA from Paramormyrops kingsleyae, 466 nucleotides. RefSeq lists it as uncharacterized. Lineage: Eukaryota; Metazoa; Chordata; Actinopteri; Osteoglossiformes; Mormyridae. The record is from RefSeq and is a predicted model, not a curated record.
UUUUGACGAUCAGUGAGUCAUGCCGACAGGCCUUAAAAGAGGCCUGCUUUUGGAUCGUCGGAAUUAAAAGCCGGAGGUGUUUAUUUCUACAUUUUUGUGCCCGACCAAUCAUACGAGAAUUCACUUUGGAUACCACUUUGGAGUCACCUUGGAUAGGGGACAGCUCUGCGUUUCAGGGCAGCCAGGAGUCCAAGGCACGGAGAGAUGCGAUCAGAACGUGAGUUUGUUUCUGGAAAUUAACCAACCCCUCCACUGAAGCCGCAGUGUUCUGUAGCUUGGUGCAAUACUGACUGGGGGUUGGGAACUUCUGGCUUACACAAUGAGGAAACCCAAGACAGAAGAAGGAGAUCCACCAGUUUUGAGUCUUCAUCUUGUCAGUCACUUGAAGGAUCAAAUUAUUCUGUGCCGGUGUCUCUGCUUCUCCUCUUCCUCUUCUAAGCUAGGAUGCUUUAUGUCCAGCUGCUCC